UUUCCGGUUGAUCCCGCCGGACCUGACUGCUAUCGGAUCGAUACUAAGCCAUGCGAGUCUUUGCAGUAAUGCAAGGCAUACGGCUCAGUAACACGUAGUCAACUUACCCUAUGGACGAGGAUAAUCUCGGGAAACUGAGCAUAAUACUCGAUAGAUCAUAAUGCCUGGAAUGGUUUAUGGUUGAAAUGAUUCGUCGCCAUAGGAUGGGACUGCGGCCUAUCAGCUUGUUGGUGAGGUAAUGGCCCACCAAGGCGAUUACAAGUACGGGCUCUGAGAGGAGAAGCCCGGAGAUGGGUACUGAGACAAGGACCCAGGCCCUAUGGGGCGCAGCAGGCGAGAAAACUUUGCAAUGUGCGAAAGCACGACAAGGUUAAUCCGAGUGAUUUCUGCUAAAGGAAUCUUUUGCAAGUCAUAGAACCACUAGUGAAUAAGGGGUGGGCAAGUUCUGGUGUCAGCCGCCGCGGUAAAACCAGCACCUCAAGUGGUCAGGAGGAUUAUUGGGCCUAAAGCAUCCGUAGCCGGCUCUGUAAGUUUUCGGUUAAAUCCAUGUGCUCAACGCAUGGGCUGCCGAAAAUACUGCAUAGCUAGGGAGUGGGAGAGGUAGACGGUACUCGGUAGGAAGGGGUAAAAUCCUUUGAUCUAUCGAUGACCACCUGUGGCGAAGGCGGUCUACCAGAACACGUUCGACGGUGAGGGAUGAAAGCUGGGGGAGCAAACCGGAUUAGAUACCCGGGUAGUCCCAGCUGUAAACGAUGCAGACUCGAUGAUGCAUUGGCAUAUAGCCAGUGCAGUGUCGCAGGGAAGCCGUUAAGUCUGCCGCCUGGGAAGUACG
RNAcentral lists this ribosomal RNA (832 nucleotides) under uncultured archaeon. Its description in RNAcentral is "bacterial SSU rRNA". It matches the Rfam family "Archaeal small subunit ribosomal RNA", at positions 1 to 839 of the family's 1478-position model. The record is from RNAcentral.